ACCUUGUGGCCGUAGAGAGACACA
RNAcentral lists this non-coding RNA (24 nucleotides) under Arabidopsis thaliana (thale cress). Lineage: Eukaryota; Viridiplantae; Streptophyta; Magnoliopsida; Brassicales; Brassicaceae. The record is from RNAcentral.